This 466-nucleotide ribosomal RNA is filed under the name uncultured bacterium. RNAcentral describes it as "bacterial SSU rRNA". It matches the Rfam family "Bacterial small subunit ribosomal RNA", at positions 36 to 518 of the family's 1533-position model. The record is from RNAcentral.
CUGGCGGCGUGCCUAACACAUGCAAGUCGAGCGAGGAGAUUCCUCCGGGAUGAUCCUAGCGGCGGACGGGUGAGUAACACGUGGGCAACCUGCCUCAUAGAGAGGAAUAGCCUUCCGAAAGGGAGAUUAAUACCUCAUAACAUUGCAGUUUCGCAUGGAACAGCAAUUAAAGGAGCAAUCCGCUAUGAGAUGGGCCCGCGGCGCAUUAGCUAGUUGGUGAGGUAACGGCUCACCAAGGCGACGAUGCGUAGCCGACCUGAGAGGGUGAUCGGCCACAUUGGGACUGAGACACGGCCCAGACUCCUACGGGAGGCAGCAGUGGGGAAUAUUGCACAAUGGGGGAAACCCUGAUGCCAGCAACGCCGCGUGAGUGAUGACGGCCUUCGGGUUGUAAAGCUCUGUCUUCAGGGACGAUAAUGACGGUACCUGAGGAGGAAGCCACGGCUAACUACGUGCCAGCCGCCGC